UCGCAAUCUUUUUCGUUCUUUGUUUUUUUUAGAAUAGAUUAUUCCACCUUUCAAUAAACUUCAACUCAUUUCUUACUCUCUUAAUCAAUCUCUUAUGAUCUUAUUCUUUUACUCUUUUGUUUACCCAUUACAGAUAAUGUUACCACAUAAUUUAUCUGAAGGUAGAACAACUGGUCCUUAAUAUUGUAUCUUCGAUGUAUCUCCAAUAUUUUAUUCUAGAUACUUCUAUUUCAGCUUUCUUAUUCAUUCCAUCUUCCUACUUCCCCCUCAUCUCUCUCUUUCUCUCUAACCUUGCUUUUUCAUCUCUCUUCUCAUUUCUUCAUUCCUAAUUUAUUACUAUUCAUUUGCAAUUUUCUUCAUAAUCGCGUAGGCACUUUGCGCUAUUUUUCUUUUACAGGAUCCGACUAAGCGACAGGAUCACCAUCUUCAAGCGAUUGAUACUCCAUGGCAGCUCCCGCCACCUGGUCCAGGUUCAUCCUCUCUCAUGUCCUGCGCGUUAGAGGGGGUUUUCACAUCUCGAUACCCCCGCGGCAGCAGCGAGAAAGCCGCCGGCGCGACCGGCGCGCGUUAUUGAUUUGACAGGAAUGACGGGAGGCGGAAUGGCGCAGGAAUCGAUAAGAGAAGGUGGUGGUCCAAGCUGCUGGUGAUGGGCUGCGCGGGGGUGCGCAAGAAAGAGAGGCUGCUUGUACAACGAGGGUGCUAGAGCGAGCGAGCGAGCGAGCGGCGAACUGUGUAGGGUUGGUAGCGAGCAGGUAGAGGGAGUGAUGAGGAGAAGAACGAGGGCUGGCGGGAGCGGUAGCGAGGAGGAGGAUCAGAAGAGAGAGGGAGCGGAGAAUAUUUUCAUACUCCAGACUCCCGGCGUAGGUAGAAGAUGGCAGCCGAGGCGUGAUUCGGUCCGGGCAGUUUCCUCUUUUCUGGCCGCGCGCGCGCGAGAGUAGUAGGGCCGCAAUCCGCUCCGGGUUUGAGAAGAAGUCGGAAAGUAGUGUGCUCUCCCUUCGUGGUCGAUCUCAGCUCCUCGUUGUCGGUCGACGGUGCACGAAAACUCCAAAAAAAGCCGCCGAGAGAUGAUUUAAAGAGAGAUAGAGAACAAGCAGAAAGAGAGAGAGAGAGAGAGAGAGAGAGAGAAAGAGAGAGAGAGAGGGAGGGAGAAAGAGAAAGAGAGAGAAAGAGAGAGACUGAUUGACUGACUGAUACUAAAGGAAAGAUAAAAAAGAGGAAAAGAUAGAACGAGAAGGAAGAGAAAGAUCCGCUCCAUUUCGCUCAUCUGCAUUUCGUUCGCGCGACGUAUCCAAUUCGCUGUUUUUCUGUCGUUUUUUUUCGUCGCUGCACAUACAGCUACCCGCUACGAGCGCGCUAUUCGUAUAUCUCAAAGAUUGGUAUACGUUCGAUAGCGUAUUAUCGAAGAGAAUCAACUCGUGAUCCGCUCCGAUCCGCUCCGCUACGCUCCGUUCCGCUCGACUCCGCGUGCCGCGUCUAAUGAUCAAGGAGGUGGUAGACAUCAGUGAUUAUGCGCGUAGUAAUGAAUAAUCUUGUAAAGCCCGUCGGAAUCACAGUAGCCGCCAUCGUCGCAGUGUUUCAUGAGCGUCAUGUAAUAUGGAAUUAAACAAUGUUGUUAAGACGUAAACAUGUUCUGGCUACACUGUGGACUCUUUGUUCUCGUGAUUGCCGUACGUGGAUUUAUUAGCAGCUUAGCCGAUACCACAUCCAAGCGAGAUUGGUAGCUGAGCGUAUUGAUGGCUGGAGCUUAAUCGGACCGAGUGUAAUCGAUUCAAUAUUUUAGAGGGUACAGAGGGAUGACUAAGUGGACGCUAAGGUCCUCUACACGAAUGGCUGCGUGAAUGAAUGGGUGUAAAGCGCUGAUCGUUACGGAGGUAUUGCACCUGCUUGCGCACCUUGCUUGCCACCCUGUCCGCUUAAUAAUCCUAAGGAGGUAAGAUUCAAGGAAGGAGAAGUGGACUUAAGAGUUUAAAGAUCUGAUGAAGAUCUAAAGCUUCUUAAUUGUAGUUUUAUGUGAAUAACUGUAAUAUAGUUUGCUUUAUAUAAAAGGAGUCUCUUAGCUAGCAAAUAAUUUAACGCAAACUCUUUCUAUCUUAUCGAGUAAUCAUGUCUGUUUAGUGAACUGAAAUAAUUUCAUUGAAAUAAUUUCUAAUGUGGAGGAAUAAUGGUUUCGUUCAUAAUUAGAGCGCGAA
This 2189-nucleotide long non-coding RNA is filed under the name Acromyrmex echinatior (Panamanian leafcutter ant). Its description in RNAcentral is "uncharacterized LOC105152690, transcript variant X1". The record is from RNAcentral. Lineage: Eukaryota; Metazoa; Arthropoda; Insecta; Hymenoptera; Formicidae.